GUCGUGAGAUGUUGGGUUAAGUCCCGCAACGAGCGCAACCCCUACCGCCAGUUUGCCAUCAUUCAGUUGGGCACUCUGGUGGAACUUGCCGGUGACAUGCCGGAGAAAGGCGGGGAUUGACGUCAAGUUCCUCAUGGCCCUUUAUUGGGUGGGGGCUACCACACGUGCUACAAUUGGCGGUGACAGUGGGAACGCGAAGUUCGCAAGAUUGGAGCCAAUUCCCCAAACCCAUCCUAGUCCGGAUCGGAGUCUGCAACUCGACUCCGUGAAGUCGGAAUCGCUAGUAAUCGCGGAUCAGCAUUGCCGCG
RNAcentral lists this ribosomal RNA (308 nucleotides) under uncultured organism. Its description in RNAcentral is "bacterial SSU rRNA". It matches the Rfam family "Bacterial small subunit ribosomal RNA", at positions 1064 to 1361 of the family's 1533-position model. The record is from RNAcentral.